This 460-nucleotide ribosomal RNA is filed under the name uncultured bacterium. RNAcentral's name for it is "partial 16S ribosomal RNA". It matches the Rfam family "Bacterial small subunit ribosomal RNA", at positions 338 to 795 of the family's 1533-position model. The record is from RNAcentral.
CCUACGGGAGGCAGCAGUGUGGAAUAUUGGUCAAUGGGCGGAAGCCUGAACCAGCCAAGUCGCGUGAGGGAUUAAGGCCCUGCGGGUCGUAAACCUCUUUUGCCGGGGAGCAGUGGUCCGGACGCGUCCGGACCGGGAGAGUACCCGGAGAAAAAGCAUCGGCUAACUCCGUGCCAGCAGCCGCGGUAAUACGGAGGAUGCGAGCGUUAUCCGGAUUUAUUGGGUUUAAAGGGUGCGUAGGCGGGCUUUUAAGUCAGCGGUAAAAAUUCGGGGCUCAACCCCGUCCGGCCGUUGAAACUGGGGGCCUUGAGUGGGCGAGAAGAAGGCGGAAUGCGUGGUGUAGCGGUGAAAUGCAUAGAUAUCACGCAGAACCCCGAUUGCGAAGGCAGCCUUCCGGCGCCCUACUGACGCUGAGGCACGAAAGUGCGGGGAUCGAACAGGAUUAGAUACCCGGGUAGUC